RNAcentral lists this ribosomal RNA (495 nucleotides) under uncultured bacterium. RNAcentral's name for it is "partial 16S ribosomal RNA". It matches the Rfam family "Bacterial small subunit ribosomal RNA", at positions 28 to 507 of the family's 1533-position model. The record is from RNAcentral.
GACGAACGCUGGCGGCGUGCCUAAUACAUGCAAGUAGAACGCUGAAGGAGGAGCUUGCUCUUCUGGAUGAGUUGCGAACGGGUGAGUAACGCGUAGGUAACCUGCCUGGUAGCGGGGGAUAACUAUUGGAAACGAUAGCUAAUACCGCAUAAGAGUAGAUGUUGCAUGACAUUUACUUAAAAGGUGCAAUUGCAUCACUACCAGAUGGACCUGCGUUGUAUUAGCUAGUUGGUGGGGUAACGGCUUACCAAGGCGACGAUACAUAGCCGACCUGAGAGGGUGAUCGGCCACACUGGGGCUGAGACACGGCCCAGACUCCUACGGGAGGCAGCAGUAGGGAAUCUUCGGCAAUGGACGGAAGUCUGACCGAGCAACGCCGCGUGAGUGAAGAAGGUUUUCGGAUCGUAAAGCUCUGUUGUAAGAGAAGAACGAGUGUGAGAGUGGAAAGUUCACACUGUGACGGUAUCUUACCAGAAAGAGACGGCUAACUACGUG